GCCAGCAUGGCCUUGUGGUUUGAGAGCUGGACUAUGACUCCGGGGAUCCAGGGUUCGAGUCCCAGCUCAGCCA
Molecule: non-coding RNA, 73 nt
Organism: Phrynosoma platyrhinos (Desert horned lizard)
Lineage: Eukaryota; Metazoa; Chordata; Lepidosauria; Squamata; Phrynosomatidae
Source: the annotation of a GenBank genome assembly